RNAcentral lists this ribosomal RNA (492 nucleotides) under uncultured bacterium. RNAcentral describes it as "partial 16S ribosomal RNA". It matches the Rfam family "Bacterial small subunit ribosomal RNA", at positions 29 to 507 of the family's 1533-position model. The record is from RNAcentral.
AGUGAACGCUGGCGGUAGGCCUAACACAUGCAAGUCGAACGGCAGCACAGUAAGAGCUUGCUCUUACGGGUGGCGAGUGGCGGGCGGGUGAGGAAUACAUCGGAAUCUACUUUUUCGUGGGGGAUAACGUAGAGAAACUUACGCUAAUACAGCAUACGACCUACGGGUGAAAGCAGGGGAUCUUCGGACCUUGCGCGAUUGAAUGAGCCGAUGUCGGAUUAGCUAGUUGGGGGGGUAAAGGCCAACCCAGGCGACGAUCCGUAGCUGGUCUGAGAGGCUGGUCAGCCACAUUGGAACUGAGACAGGGUCCAGACUCCUACGGGAGGCAGCAGUGGGGAAUAUUGGACAAUGGGCGCAAGCCUGACCCAGCCAUCCCGCGUGGGUGACGAAGGCCUUCGGGUUGUAAAGCCCUUUUGUUGGGAAAGAAAAGCAGUAGGUUAAUACCCCGCUGUUCUGACGGUACCCAAUGAAUAAGCACCGGCUAACUUCGUG